Molecule: ribosomal RNA, 388 nt
Filed under: uncultured Alphaproteobacteria bacterium
Lineage: Bacteria; Pseudomonadati; Pseudomonadota; Alphaproteobacteria
Description: bacterial SSU rRNA
Rfam family: Bacterial small subunit ribosomal RNA
Source: RNAcentral
GAGUUUGAUCCUGGCUCAGAACGAACGCUGGCGGCAUGCCUAACACAUGCAAGUCGAACGGGAUCCUGGCUUCGGUCAGGUGAGAGUGGCGGACGGGUGAGUAACGCGUGGGAACCUGCCCAGUGGUGGGGGAUAACUGCGGGAAACUGCAGCUAAUACCGCAUGAGCCCGAGAGGGGAAAGAUUUAUCGCCAUUGGAGGGGCCCGCGUUCGAUUAGGUAGUUGGUGGGGUAAAGGCCUACCAAGCCGACGAUCGAUAGCUGGUCUGAGAGGAUGAUCAGCCACACUGGGACUGAGAUACGGCCCAGACUCCUACGGGAGGCAGCAGUGGGGAAUAUUGGACAAUGGGGGCAACCUGAUCCAGCAAUGCCGCGUGAGUGAUGAAGGCC